This 242-nucleotide ribosomal RNA is filed under the name uncultured Actinomycetales bacterium. Its description in RNAcentral is "partial 16S ribosomal RNA". It matches the Rfam family "Bacterial small subunit ribosomal RNA", at positions 88 to 334 of the family's 1533-position model. Lineage: Bacteria; Bacillati; Actinomycetota; Actinomycetes; Actinomycetales. The record is from RNAcentral.
UACUCGAGUGGCGAACGGGUGAGUAACACGUGGGUGAUCUGCCCUGCACUUCGGGAUAAGCCUUGGAAACUGGGUCUAAUACCGGAUAGGAGCCAUUUUAGUGUGAUGGUUGGAAAGUUUUUUCGGUGUAGGAUGAGCUCGCGGCCUAUCAGCUUGUUGGUGGGGUAAUGGCCUACCAAGGCGGCGACGGGUAGCCUGCCUGAGAGGGUGGACGGCCACAUUGGGACUGAUAUACGGCCCAG